RNAcentral lists this ribosomal RNA (253 nucleotides) under uncultured bacterium. RNAcentral describes it as "partial 16S ribosomal RNA". It matches the Rfam family "Bacterial small subunit ribosomal RNA", at positions 524 to 776 of the family's 1533-position model. The record is from RNAcentral.
UACGGAGGGAGCUAGCGUUGUUCGGAAUUACUGGGCGUAAAGCGCGCGUAGGCGGCUUUGUAAGUUAGAGGUGAAAGCCCGGGGCUCAACUCCGGAACUGCCUUUAAGACUGCAUCGCUUGAAUCCGGGAGAGGUGAGUGGAAUUCCGAGUGUAGAGGUGAAAUUCGCAGAUAUCGGGAAGAACACCCGUGGCGAAGGCGGCUCUCUGGGACGGUACUGACGCUGAGACGCGAAAGCGUGGGGAGCAAACAGG